CAAGAGCGUAUAUUAAAGUUGUUGCAGUUAAAAAGCUCGUAGUUGGAUUUCUGGGAGGGUGCCAAUGUCCGCCGACGUGCGUGCGCAGCGGCGCCCUUCCAUCCUUCUGUUAACGCCUCUUGGCAUUCAUUUGCUGGUGGCGGGCUCAGAUAUUUUUACCUUGAGAAAUUAGAGUGUUUCAGGCAGGCUAGGCCGGAAUACAUUAGCAUGGAAUAAUGGAAUAGGACUACGGUCUCUUUGUUGGUUUGAGGGACUGCAGUAAUGAUUAAUAGGGAUAGUUGGGGGCAUUAGUAUUUAAUUGUCAGAGGUGGAAUUCUCGGAUUUGUUAAAGACUAACUUAUGCGAAAGCAUUUGCCAAGGAUGUUUUCAUUAAUCAAGAACGAAAGUUAGGGGAU
This 395-nucleotide ribosomal RNA is filed under the name uncultured eukaryote. Its description in RNAcentral is "SSU rRNA". It matches the Rfam family "Eukaryotic small subunit ribosomal RNA", at positions 592 to 998 of the family's 1831-position model. The record is from RNAcentral.